GCUUCCCGGCACGCCUCCCUGCUCCCCCGAGCGUCCUCACGCACACUCGCAGGCGUCUCUCUGCCCUUAACAACAACUGCCUUAAUACUAUUGGUGAGUUCUGACCCCGCCCCCUCUCACUUUCUCCACGCCGAUAGGUUGGCCUUCGUGUCAUUCACCUCCCGUAGGGGUUUAUGAUUUUCUGAAGCGGCCGAGGCCCGCGAUUGGCGGGUGAGGAAACCUUUGGUUGGAAACAGUUGCUCGGCGCCCCGCAGUGCGGACCCCUCAGGGCUGACUUGGGGGGGGCGGCUUCCAAGCUCGGUGUCCGGGCCAGAAAUACUGGUACAGUGACCUAGAGAUAAGGCCUUCGCCUCUGGAAAAAGCUCAGGAGUCGGUGCUUCUGAAUUCAGGUUUUUGCAUUCUUUUUUCUUUUUUUAUGAAAUGGAAAAAUGACUGACAGUUUGACGAGCAAACACGAACGACGACGCAGGUUCCUAGCCCUCAGGCGAGCAGCCAUAUCUCCUCGGCGAUAGAUAGGCCUCGAGAUUUUUCUCCUAAACAGCCAGGCCGUCGUCCCUCCGGGUCCCAUCUGACUGGAGAUGCCAGAACCUGAGGGUGCGCGCGCUUCCCGUGGCCCAUUCAGGGGAACCCGCCUGCUGGGUGCACCGCAAACAGGAUUGAAGCUCAUUUGAUGCUCAAAAUAUGAUCUCCAAGCACAGUUAUGGAGCUUCUUCCAUGUACCAGUUUCACAAAUGAAUGACAACAUCAUUUGGUUGAACCUCAUUUGGUAUAUUGAUUGUCUUCACCAACUACAUACACACACACACACACACACCCAUAGCCAUUUAUUUAUAUUACCGGCUGAAGAAAUUAACUGGCAAACUACCAAAGGGAGUAUAUGUCACUAAGUGAAGUUCCUGAAAUGCAGCUCUUGUUUUUUUUUCGUUUCUUUUUGCCAGCAACUUCCGAUUAUGAGAUAGCACAUUCUCUGCAUUGCACAACAUUAGACAGGUCAGGACUGUUCCAGAAGGUACAGACACCAUUUGGUACAAAGUACAAAGCAGGGACAAGCUUGAGGAUGAGAAGGAACUAUUGAACAA
This is a long non-coding RNA of Myotis davidii, 1079 nucleotides long. RefSeq lists it as uncharacterized. Lineage: Eukaryota; Metazoa; Chordata; Mammalia; Chiroptera; Vespertilionidae. The record is from RefSeq and is a predicted model, not a curated record. The transcript is spliced from 3 exons.